CCUACGGGAGGCAGCAGUGAGGAAUAUUGGUCAAUGGCCGGAAGGCUGAACCAGCCAUGCCGCGUGAAGGUCAGUGCCCUAUGGGCGUUAAACUUCUUUUGUGCGGGAGCAAUAAUGGUCACGUGUGGCCAGACGAGAGUACCGUACGAAUAAGCAUCGGCUAACUCCGUGCCAGCAGCCGCGGUAAUACGGGGGAUGCAAGCGUUAUCCGGAUUUAUUGGGUUUAAAGGGUGCGUAGGCUGUGAGGUAAGUCAGCGGUGAAAUGCCCCCGCUCAACGGGGUGAAGUGACAUUGAUACUGCCUGGCUGGAAUGCGGAUGCCGUGGGAGGAAUGUGUGGUGUAGCGGUGAAAUGCAUAGAUAUCACACAGAACACCGAUUGCGAAGGCAUCUCACGAAUCCGCGAUUGACGCUGAUGCACGAAAGCGUGGGUAUCAAACAGGAUUAGAUACCCGAGUAGUC
Molecule: ribosomal RNA, 460 nt
Filed under: uncultured bacterium
Lineage: Bacteria
Description: partial 16S ribosomal RNA
Rfam family: Bacterial small subunit ribosomal RNA
Source: RNAcentral